Molecule: ribosomal RNA, 429 nt
Filed under: Acidobacteriota bacterium
Lineage: Bacteria; Pseudomonadati; Acidobacteriota
Description: Acidobacteria bacterium partial 16S ribosomal RNA
Rfam family: Bacterial small subunit ribosomal RNA
Source: RNAcentral
UGGGGAAUUUUGGACAAUGGGGGAAACCCUGAUCCAGCCAUCCCGCGUGUGCGAUGAAGGCCUUCGGGUUGUAAAGCACUCUUGGCAGGAAAGAAACGUCAUGGGUUAAUACCCCGUGAAACUGACGGCACCUGCAGAAUAAGCACCGGCUAACUACGUGCCAGCAGCCGCGGUAUUACGUAGGGUGCAAGCGUUAAUCGGAAUUACUGAGCGUAAAGCGUGCGCAGGCGGUUCGGAAAGAAAGAUGUGAAAUCCCAGAGCUUAACUUUGGAACUGUAGUUUUAACUACCGCGCUAGAGUGUGUCGGAGGGAGGUGUAAUUCCGUGUGUAGCAGUAAAAUGCGGAGAUAUGCGGAGGAACACCAAUGGCGAAGGCAGCCUCCAGGGAUAACACUGACGCUCAUGCACGAAAGCGUGGGGAGCAAACAGG